Molecule: non-coding RNA, 72 nt
Organism: Phrynosoma platyrhinos (Desert horned lizard)
Lineage: Eukaryota; Metazoa; Chordata; Lepidosauria; Squamata; Phrynosomatidae
Source: the annotation of a GenBank genome assembly
ACCAGUGUGGCAUAGUGGUUUGAGCAUUGGACUAUAACUCUGGAAACAAGGGUUUGAAUCCCCACUCAGUCA